AGCUGCUUUCUCUUGACCGGUAUUGAACAAUCUGUUGUAUCUGAUGGGUUGCUGAGAAGGCUUUUCAAAGUUGAGUGUCUUUGCCUUUUGCUUAUCUGUGUAAACCUGGUUUUAACAAGACUUCCAGCCAAAGAAACUCAAGAAGAGGGAACACAACGAGCUAAAGACAGUUGCUGGAAAUUUUUGUACUUUUGCAAAAUGUAAUGGCAGCAAGUCAAGUUAUAAGUACAAAAUAUAAAUAAGAAAUUGAUGUAUUGUGACAUUUGGAAACAUGUAUUAAUGUCAAUAUAGUACUUGUAGCUAUCUAUGUAACCUUAUUGAAACCAAGCACAAUCUGUACUAUUUUUUUUUUCUUUUUCUUUUUGACAAAGAAUGUAAACUAGGUAAAUGUUUGCUUUUGUUUGUAAGAAACACUUGUGUUCUACUCUAAUAUUUUGUUAACCAAA
Molecule: long non-coding RNA, 446 nt
Organism: Rosa rugosa (rugosa rose)
Lineage: Eukaryota; Viridiplantae; Streptophyta; Magnoliopsida; Rosales; Rosaceae
Exons: 2
Source: RefSeq, a predicted model, not a curated record